AAAAAAAUGUCAAAGUUCCUUAAAAACCGACUUGGUGAUAUAUCAGCUGCUCAACUUCUAGAUAAAGACAAUCCUGGUGCUGGACCUGACGGGAAUGAUGAAAAAACAUGUUGGAAGAAGAACCCACCUGAAAUGUUGCCAAUUCACGGAGUUUGGCACAAUGGUGGAGGCCGGAGACUUGUGGUGAUGACCCAGAGAGACCAAAAAAGGUGAUGACGUAGAGAGGCUGC
Molecule: unclassified non-coding RNA, 230 nt
Filed under: Hevea brasiliensis (rubber tree)
Lineage: Eukaryota; Viridiplantae; Streptophyta; Magnoliopsida; Malpighiales; Euphorbiaceae
Source: RNAcentral